AGACUGGCUGAGUCUUCCGGCCAUCUUUCUCCCGUGCUGGGUGCUUCCUGCCCUCAAACAUUGGACUCCAAGUUCUUCAGCUUUUGGACUCUUGGAUUUACACCAGUGGUUCGCCAGGGGCUCUAGGGCCUUCAGCCACAGACUGAAGGCUGCCCUGUCGGCUUCCCUAUUUUUGAGGUUUUGGGACUUGGACUGGCUUCCUUGCUCCUCAGCUUGCAGAUAGCCUACUGUGGGACUUCACCUUGUGAUCGUGUGAGUCAAUACUCCUUAAUAAACUCCCUUUCAUAUAUACAUCUAUCCUAUUAGUUCUGUCCUUCUAGGGAACCCUGACUAAUACAGUCGGUAAACCAUGGGCCUCAGAGCCAGUGUCUGGUCCUGCUCUAUGCCUAGGCUCCACUGAGUGAAGCCAACUCUGGCCCAGGAUGGGUUCUGCUAGUUGGCCGAGUCCUCAACAAAAUGUCUUGGAAUGCACUUCUUUCUCCUGACGGUGGAGAAAUGGCCAGCCACCUUUGGUUCAUGCCGAUAUUUCAGAUUCUGCACUUCCCCACAAAAAUGGCUUCUUCUCCCAUAAGCCCAGUCCCUGCUAGCUGUAUCACCAACCUCUCAGGUACUCAGGACCUGCCCACUGCUUCCUUUUUUGCUCCUCCCUUUCCUCUGAGAGCACGCAGGCCCACACAGAGCUAGUCAGUUGCUUACUUGCUGCUGCAGCUGCAUACGCUCAGGACUCUUGUGUGCAGGUUAUAGAAAACUCAAUUCAAUUUCAUAGUCCCAGGUACCUGAAAUGGCUAGGGUGUGUCUGAUUCAGGGGCUCCAAUCAUGGCCUCAGGACUUGGUCUCACUUCUCUAUCUCUGACUCUGUUUUUGCCUGUGUGACUUCAUUCUGCCACUUUGGGCCCUAGAAGGUCCAGAUUCACUUCCUGCCGGAAGUGUCCCUUUAGAGACAAGAUCUCACUCUGUAGCCCAGGCUGGAGUGCAAUGGCACGAUCACGGCUUACUGUAGCAUUGGAGUCCUGGGCUCAAGCAAUCCUCCCACCUCAGCCUGCUGUGUAUCUGGGACUACAGAUACUAAUUUUUUAUCUGUAGUGCCAGACUACAGAUAAAACUGUAGUCUAACUAAUUUUUUUAUUUUUCUUUUCUAGAGACAGGGUCUGGCUAUGUUACUCAGGCUGGUUUCAAACUUCUGGCCUCAAGCAAUCCUCCCGCCUCGGCCUUCAAAAGUGUUGGGACUAUAGGCCCAGCCUCACCUCCCCAUUUUAACAAUCUACUACACAGCUCUGAAUCUUUCAACUUCCACCAAAAAAAAACAAAACAAAACACUUGCAUGGUUCCCUAUUGUCUAGGCCACAAAAUCCAAGAUCCUAGACCUGAAACUCAAAACCUCCAUGCUCUGACUCUCCUGUAGUCCAUGCUCUGACUCCAGCAUAAUUCUCCAGCCUCAUCACCUUCAGCUUUCCAUCACUCAUUUGCCUGACAAUUCAGCCAAUCAAGACUAGCUGCUGUUCUUUCAAUACACCUUACAUUUCCUCUACUUUAAGCCUUUCCCUCAUGCUGUGCCCUUCUUCUGGAAUGCUCACCAACUCCCACCUCCACUUCUCCAAGUCCCUGAAAUCAAGCCCAGCUGGAUGGCUACUACUCCAAGGAAGGCUCAUUUCUGCUGAAUGCACACCAGCUCCAAUCCUCCAAGGCAAAUACUCCUGCCCCUUCACCACCUGGUCCUCAGCCCUUUUCUCAUGGUGCAGUUCAUCUAUGAAAGAGACUGAGCCCCUAUGAGUGAGGGUGAUGUCAACACAACAGCAGGCACCCUUGGUAACCAAGUCAGCUUCCAUAUUGAUCAGGACUCUUUUGAUUGCAAGAAACCAAACUCGGAUCUUUAUAAAAGCAAAGGUAAUUGACUCAGUCAGAAGCACAUACAGCACGAGAGUUGUAGGCAUGGCUACACUUAAGCCAUCCCUUUAUCUGGCUUUCAUUAGAGCCUCGGCCGCGCCUCUUUUGUGGGAGAGACUUGAGGGAGCCGAGGCAGUUUCCCAGCCGCUGUGAUGUUGCUAAAGAUUAAAAAGGAGCUUUGAAGCUGCACCAGUUCUCUCUGUGCCCCCUCGGUACAGGACCUCAGAAAGACCCAAGCCAUCUGGCAAACCUGACAUAAAGACAAAAUAAAGUGAUUGAAACAGUC
This 2170-nucleotide long non-coding RNA is filed under the name Homo sapiens (human). RNAcentral describes it as "HSALNT0385868". The record is from RNAcentral. Lineage: Eukaryota; Metazoa; Chordata; Mammalia; Primates; Hominidae.